This 752-nucleotide ribosomal RNA is filed under the name Clostridioides difficile. Its description in RNAcentral is "partial 23S ribosomal RNA". It matches the Rfam family "Bacterial large subunit ribosomal RNA", at positions 925 to 1683 of the family's 2925-position model. Lineage: Bacteria; Bacillati; Bacillota; Clostridia; Peptostreptococcales; Peptostreptococcaceae. The record is from RNAcentral.
GGUAUUGCACCUACCGAAGACUAUCAAACUCCGAAUGCCGUCAUCUUAUACUUGGGAGUCAGACUGUGGGUGAUAAGAUUCAUAGUCGAAAGGGCAACAGCCCAGAUCGUCAGCUAAGGUCCCUAAAUGUAAGUUAAGUGGUAAAGGAUGUGGGAUUGCACAGACAACCAGGAUGUUGGCUUAGAAGCAGCCACUCAUUCAAAGAGUGCGUAAUAGCUCACUGGUCGAGUGAUCCUGCGCCGAAGAUUUCCGGGGCUAAAACUUACUACCGAAGCUACGGCAUCAGUAAUGAUGGGUAGGGGAGCUUCCCAUACGGGUUGAAGCAUGACCGUAAGGACAUGUGGACAGUAUGGGAGUGAGAAUGUUGGCAUGAGUAGCGAGAUGUGGGUGAGAAUCCCACAGGCCGUAAACCCAAGGUUUCCAGGGGAAGGUUCGUCCGCCCUGGGUUAGUCGGGACCUAAGCUGAGGCCGAAAGGCGUAGGUGAUGGACAACAGGUUGAUAUUCCUGUACUACCGAUAACCGUUUGAGAGAAGGGAUGACACAGUAGGAUAAGCUAAGCACACUGUUGGUUAUGUGUGCCCAAGCAUUGAGGCAGUCAAAGUAGGUAAAUCCGCUUUGAUAAUGCUGGGAUGUGAUGGGGAGCGAAAUUUAGUAGCGAAGUAGCUGAUUUCACACUGUCAAGAAAAGUCUCUAUCGAGGUUAAAGGUACCCGUACCGCAAACCGACACAGGUGGGUGAGGAGAGUAUCCUA